GGACCUUUAGCUCAGCGGUAGAGCAAGGUGCUCAUAACGCCUCGGUCACAGGUUCGAAUCCUGUAAGGUCCA
RNAcentral lists this transfer RNA (72 nucleotides) under Bacillus phage vB_BauM_KLEB27-3. It matches the Rfam family "tRNA". Rfam says of the family: Transfer RNA (tRNA) molecules are approximately 80 nucleotides in length. Their secondary structure includes four short double-helical elements and three loops (D, anti-codon, and T loops). Further hydrogen bonds mediate the characteristic L-shaped molecular structure. tRNAs have two regions of fundamental functional importance: the anti-codon, which is responsible for specific mRNA codon recognition, and the 3' end, to which the tRNAs corresponding amino acid is attached (by aminoacyl-tRNA synthetases). tRNAs cope with the degeneracy of the genetic code in two manners: having more than one tRNA (with a specific anti-codon) for a particular amino acid; and 'wobble' base-pairing, i.e. permitting non-standard base-pairing at the 3rd anti-codon position. The record is from Rfam by way of RNAcentral. Lineage: Duplodnaviria; Heunggongvirae; Uroviricota; Caudoviricetes.